GUGCCAGCCGCCGCGGGUAAUACGUAGGUGGCAAGCGUUGUCCGGAUUUAUUGGGCGUAAAGCGAGCGCAGGCGGUUUCUUAAGUCUGAUGUGAAAGCCUUCGGCUCAACCGAAGAAGUGCAUCGGAAACUGGGAAACUUGAGUGCAGAAGAGGACAGCGGAACUCCAUGUGUAGCGGUGAAAUGCGUAGAUAUAUGGAAGAACACCAGUGGCGAAGGCGGCUGUCUGGUCUGUAACUGACGCUGAGGCUCGAAAGCAUGGGUAGCAAACAGGAUUAGAUACCCUGGUAGUCCAUGCCGUAAACGAUGAGUGCUAGGUGUUGGAGGGUUUCCGCCCUUCAGUGCCGCAGCUAACGCAUUAAGCACUCCGCCUGGGGAGUACGACCGCAAGGUUGAAACUCAAAGGAAUUGACGGGGGCCCGCACAAGCGGUGGAGCAUGUGGUUUAGUUCGAAGCAACGCGAAGAACCUUACCAGGUCUUGACAUCCUUUGACCACUCUAGAGAUAGAGCUUUCCCUUCGGGGACAAAGUGACAGGUGGUGCAUGGUUGUCGUCAGCUCGUGUCGUGAGAUGUUGGGUUAAGUCCCGCAACGAGCGCAACCCUUAUUACUAGUUGCCAGCAUUUAGUUGGGCACUCUAGUGAGACUGCCGGUGACAAACCGGAGGAAGGUGGGGACGACGUCAAAUCAUCAUGCCCCUUAUGACCUGGGCUACACACGUGCUACAAUGGAUGGUACAACGAGUUGCGAGACCGCGAGGUUUAGCUAAUCUCUUAAAACCAUUCUCAGUUCGGAUUGUAGGCUGCAACUCGCCUACAUGAAGCCGGAAUCGCUAGUAAUCGCGGAUCAGCAUGCCGCGGUGAAUACGUUCCCGGGCCUUGUACACACCGCCCGU
This 893-nucleotide ribosomal RNA is filed under the name uncultured bacterium. RNAcentral's name for it is "bacterial SSU rRNA". It matches the Rfam family "Bacterial small subunit ribosomal RNA", at positions 505 to 1397 of the family's 1533-position model. The record is from RNAcentral.